This 253-nucleotide unclassified non-coding RNA is filed under the name uncultured Pirellulaceae bacterium. RNAcentral's name for it is "contains 16S-23S intergenic spacer region". It matches the Rfam family "Bacterial small subunit ribosomal RNA", at positions 524 to 776 of the family's 1533-position model. Lineage: Bacteria; Pseudomonadati; Planctomycetota; Planctomycetia; Pirellulales; Pirellulaceae. The record is from RNAcentral.
CACGAACCGCACGAACGUUAUUCGGAAUUAUUGGGCUUAAAGGGUACGUAGGCGGCGCUGUUAGUCGGGUGUGAAAUCCCUCGGCUCAACCGAGGAACUGCGCCCGAUACUGCAGUGCUUGAGGGAGACAGAGGUAAGCGGAACUGAUGGUGGAGCGGUGAAAUGCGUUGAUAUCAUCAGGAACACCAGUGGCGAAAGCGGCUUACUGGGUCUCUUCUGACGCUGAGGUACGAAAGCUAGGGGAGCGAACGGG